CCUACGGGAGGCAGCAGUGGGGAAUAUUGCACAAUGGGGGAAACCCUGAUGCAGCGACGCCGCGUGAGUGAAGAAGUAUUUCGGUACGUAAAGCUCUAUCAGCAGGGAAGAAAAUGACGGUACCUGACUAAGAAGCCCCGGCUAACUACGUGCCAGCAGCCGCGGUAAUACGUAGGGGGCAAGCGUUAUCCGGAUUUACUGGGUGUAAAGGGAGCGUAGACGGCAGCGCAAGUCUGGAGUGAAAUCCCAUGGCUUAACCAUGGAACUGCUUUGGAAACUGUGCAGCUAGAGUGCAGGAGAGGUAAGCGGAAUUCCUAGUGUAGCGGUGAAAUGCGUAGAUAUUAGGAGGAACACCAGUGGCGAAGGCGACUUACUGGACUGUAACUGACGUUGAGGCUCGAAAGCGUGGGGAGCAAACAGGAUUAGAUACCCCUGUAGUC
This 440-nucleotide ribosomal RNA is filed under the name uncultured bacterium. Its description in RNAcentral is "partial 16S ribosomal RNA". It matches the Rfam family "Bacterial small subunit ribosomal RNA", at positions 338 to 795 of the family's 1533-position model. The record is from RNAcentral.